UCCCUCGAGGAGCGUUGCGACGGGUUUCACCACCCGCCAGGCUCGAGGUGUCCACCACCGCAACGGCGCUCACGAACU
This 78-nucleotide non-coding RNA is filed under the name Betaproteobacteria bacterium. RNAcentral's name for it is "SAH sequence". It matches the Rfam family "SAH (S-adenosyl-L-homocysteine) riboswitch aptamer". The record is from RNAcentral. Lineage: Bacteria; Pseudomonadati; Pseudomonadota; Betaproteobacteria.